Molecule: long non-coding RNA, 25679 nt
Filed under: Citrus maxima (pomelo)
Lineage: Eukaryota; Viridiplantae; Streptophyta; Magnoliopsida; Sapindales; Rutaceae
Description: long non-coding RNA (CMAX_LNC001667)
Source: RNAcentral
UUUACAAUAAAAAUUAGUGAUUAAUUUACAAAAUUUACAACUUAUUUUUUUAUUUAACUUGAGUAUCUAAAAAUGAACAUUUCAAAUAUAUAAAAAAAUAAUGAGUCUAAAUUUUAUUUUAUUUAAAAAAAUAAAAAAUUGAUUUCAUCAUUAUUCAUCUAAGAAUUGAUUAAGCUAUUGAAAAAUAAAAGUUAUAAGGUUUAAAGCAUGAGAACUAUAUAUGUUAAAUAACGAGUGUGCUAUAUAGUUAGGUGUUCAAAGUAAUUAUGUACAUUGACUUAUAAUAAAUUGUCUUUAAUAACAAUUUAUAUGACGGAAUUUUUAUAAUAAAAUUUUUAGUAAAGUGUGGGGCUAUUUGAGCAUAUUAAUUUCCUCUUUAAAUUUAUUUUGAUAAAAAUAUUUAUUAUUAUUAUUAUUAUUAUUUAAAAUUCUAAAGUUAACCUCACUAACCUCCUUCUUCUUCAAUCUAAAUGUAAUAAAAUUCUCUAUCUACCAUGGUUAUUCGUAAAUAGAACUCUAACUCUAGAUAGAAAUUAAAAUGGAGGAUAUAUUUGUUAAUUUAUACCAUUAACUUUAGAAAAAAAAAAAUUAAGCGGUGUUAUUUUUUUUUUGGUUGAAAUUUUAGCUGAAAAAAGUCUUUUAUUCUUUAUGUUAGGUGAAAAAAGGGAUGUCGAUGGUGGAUCUUAUUCUUUUUUAUUCUUGAUAGAUUAUAGAAAUAUCUAAAUAAAUUACAAGUAGUCUGUCUCGUCACUAAAAAUUAUUUGCAAUCUAUCACUAAAGAUAAAUGCAAAAAUUGAUGAGAAAUUGAAGAAAUGGGAGAGAGAGAGAGAGAAGAUAAGAUUUGCUAAAAAAAAAAGAAAAUGUGGUUGGUUAGAUAAUUUUAUUUAAAAAAAAACUGUAUUAAUAAUAAAAGAUUCAAUUAAGAAGAAGGUAUUAAGAAGAAAUUAAUGAGUUUAAAUAGUUACACACUUAUUAAAAUUAGAAUAUCUAAAAUAAUUUUUAAAAUAUAAAUAGGGUAUUCUUUCGUAAAUUACCUGAAUUCCGACUAUUUUCGUUUUUUUGCUGAAAUUUUCAUAUGGGAUGGUCCCAAAUCAACUGCAUGUCUUGUCAGUUAAAUUAGUUAAAAGGACUUUUAUAUCUAAAAUGCUGAAUUUUUUUUUUUUCCAUUUUUCAUACGGACCGAACGAUGGCUGUUGAAACUGAACUAUUUUUAUAAAUUGACCACCAUUUUAGCUAUUUUUCCAUUGGCUGGAUCCAAAUCCAAAUCUACCCGCAAUGUUGCACACGUGGCGAGGGUUUUAUUUGCUAGUCUGAGAAUGUUCUUUUAAUAUGCAAGCAGUCGAUCACACACCCUACCUGAGUGUGAGCUCGCGUCAAAAAGUCAAAAGACAAAGCAACGCGUCAAUCGGGAAGCAGACCAGAACAAAAGUGGGGGCAAUUACGGUAAAUAUGCGUAAGAAAGUGAGGGCAGAACGGGAAAUAAAUAAAAAAAAGGAAAAAAAAAGAAAAGGUGGCGUACUUUAACGGCAUAAUUAAAAGCAAAGCAACAGCUUAAAAUGUGCUCUCUGAAGCCAAGCCACCCUGUAAUAUCACAGACCCAGUUCCCCCCCUAUUCUCCUAUACACAUUGCAUUUAGAAGCUACAUAAACCAAAACACUUCCGAAAACUACUCUCAAAAAACAUUUUACACAUGAACCAAAGCAUUUUUAUUACAUUGCUUGCUUGCAUAUAGAAACUAGAAAUAAGAAAAACUUUGUUAUUGUUAUUAUUUUUGUGGGUGGUGUUUGUAUUUGCAUACAUUUGCUGCUUGGUAAGCUAAUGCUAGAGGUAAAGACCUGGAGAGACAACUGUGUCAGCAUCAUUUUUUGAGAUUUGCGUCAGAGGAGAGAGAAAGAGAAGAUCUUUUACUUUUAGCAGAUCAAAGUGAGUUAAAGCAAAGGCGGCGAGAAUUUAUGAUAUGAAAGUGAAAGAGAGAGAGAGAGAGAGAGAGAGAGUGAGCGAACCAUUAAAAACCAAGUUUUGUUGAUAAGUUAAUUGGGGCCUGGGGUGGGUUCAUUGUGAAUUGGUUUGUGAGUCAUCAAUGUCAUUAUAAAGACAAUUUUGACGGGGAACAUGCAGCGAGAGUUACAAGGCAGAUAGAGAGAGAGAGAGACAGAGAGAGAGCGAGAGAGAGCCUCAGACUUGUGUGUUGUGUUGUUCAAUGUAAUUAUGGUGGCGUGUUUUAAGAGAUAAGCAGCUGAAAGAAGCCAUUUUUUGGGUCUGGGUUUGUCUCAGUAUCUGCAAACAAGACAAGAAAAUAUAAGGUUUCUGUUGAUGGGCGGCGUUGUUCGUCAACUUUUCUGAAGGAUUUUUGCUGUUUGGAUUUUGGUUUUUUGUUGCCUUUUAAGGCUUGUUUGGUGAUAAAAAAAAUGAAGUUCAUGAAGCUGGGUUCGAAGCCUGAUACCUUCCAAACUGAUGGCAAAUGCAUCAGGUGAGCAAAUUUCUUUUUUUUUGUUUGAAAGUAUUUAACUCGGUAUGUGUUUUGGAUGGAACUUGAGCUUCUGUUUCUUGUUUCUCUUUUCUGAAAAUUCUAUUUGGUCGUAUAAUUUUAUAUGAUGAUGAUGUGUUGUUCAAUUACCAGAAAGGGAACAUUAACCUUACCAGUUUGAAGAGAAAUCAUCAUUAAGAAAUAAAAUAUUUCUCUCGUAUUCCUUUUGCUAGGUAACAAAUUAACCACAUGGGUGUUUUGUGGAAUAAUUGUUGUUAUUAUUACGUUUGUGUUAUGAUGGGUGAGAGAGAGAGGAAUCAUGGAAGGGGAAAAUAAAGAAGGUAUCUGAUGGGGUGGUCCAGCUGGUGAACUGUCCUUCAUUUGAAGAGUUAGUGGUCCAAAAUGUGGUAAAGGCAUAAAGGGAUGGGAGGAAUUUAAUCAUCACAUUGUGAAUCUUAGUAUGGUUUAGUGAAAAAUUUGGAUGUGGGUGGGUGGAUGAUAUUGGUUAGCUGGUUGGAUAGUCAAAAGAAGUGUUUGCUAAUGGAAUGACCUACCCUACUAUUGGACGGCAUGUGAUGGUUGGAAAUAGUACUGUAGUUUGAUGGUGGGCAUGUUGAUUUAGAACUUAUAAGAGCAUGUGAGGUUUCACCAUUUUGUAUUGUUUGGAAUAACAAGAUUUGAAUGGAGGGUGGACUUGUCGUUCAAUUCAACUAUGAGAGCUUCGUUGGGAUGACAAGAUUUUAAAUAUAACUCUGAGAGCAUCUUUACUCCAGUAGGGGUAGAAUGCUAAGAAAGAGGAUUACUGUUCUUUGCUUCAUUAUAAUUGAGCCAGUAGCCAUUAUGGUUUGUCUAACUUGUUCUCUGAUAUUGUCAUUGAAACUCAAUUUUACUUUUGAAAAAAUAUGAUGCAACUAAUCAACUAUUCAUCCCUGUCCUAGGACUAGACUGGAUUACCAACAUUUGAAGCUUGUUAAUUGUCUGUUGGUUGAAGUGUCUCAAAGAAAUACUGUAAAUUAAUUACAUACUAGUUUGUUUUUGGCUUUUAAAAAUAUAAAAUUUGUUUAACUGGAUAUGGUGUGCGCCUAGAUAUUUACUAGUAUGAUGGAAAACAGAUUUUCACUUGAUGAUCAAUUUCCCUUAAGAUGACGAUAAUUUAGCUGCUCUGUUUGAAGUUUUUAAUGGUACUAAAUGUAUUGAAAAUUUGGGAUAUUGUAGUUUUUUUCUGGUUAUUACUGCAUCUCAUUAAGAUGAGUGACUGUUUAUGGGCUUCACAUUACUCUUUUUUGACUGUGUGUUUAGCAAAAUGUUAUUGCUGCUUAUGCAGGUAUGUGACAUCUGAAUUGGCAACAGAUGUCAUCAUAAACGUUGGUGAAGUGAAGUUCUAUCUGCACAAGGUAUAGUUUUCGUGCUAUUUACUUUUUUCUUCAAGUGAAUGCGUUUGCAUGAACUCAGUCUAGUUGUUAUCAGGCACGUUUUCACAUUCCGCUAAGUUCUUGGACGUUUUAUGAUGUUUGGUGCACAUUUUCCUUUUACGAUUACAAUUGCACAGUUCAGUCUGCCCAUGUUUGUAAAAUUGUUGCUUUAAAUUACUUUUGCAGUUUCCACUGUUGUCUAAGAGUAAUCGGUUGCAUAGACUAGUGCUAAAAGCCAGUGAGGAAAAUUCUGAUGAAAUUAAUAUACUUGAUUUUCCUGGUGGCCCAAAAGCCUUCGAAAUUUGUGCGAAAUUCUGCUAUGGAAUGACGGUUACAUUUAGUGCUUACAAUGUUGUGGCUGCUCGCUGCGCAGCCGAGUACCUUGAGAUGACCGAGGACGUAGAUAAAAAAAACUUAAUUUUUAAACUUGAGGUGUUUCUCAAUUCUAGUAUCUUCCGCAGCUGGAAGGAUUCUAUUAUUGUUCUCCAAACCACCAAAUCUCUUCUUCCAUGGUCUGAAGAUCUGAAGAUAAUUGGGAGGUCCGUAGAUUCCAUUGCUUCAAAAACCUCUGUGGAUCCUGCUAAUGUCACGUGGUCUUAUACAUAUAACAGGAAGUUAUCAGCACCGGACAGGAUAGUUGAGGAGGGUGUGUUUGGGGAGAGAAUUGAAUCUGUUCCAAAGGAUUGGUGGGUUGAAGACAUAUGUGAGCUAGAUAUUGAUCUCUACAAGCGAGUCAUGAUUGCAGUUAAGUCAAAGGGAAGAAUGGACGGUUCAGUAAUUGGUGAGGCACUCAGAAUCUAUGCAGUUAGAUGGUUGCCAGAUUCCAUUGAUGCUUUGGUUUCUGAUGCUCAAACCCUUAGGAAUAAGUUUCUGGUUGAAACAAUUGUUUGCCUAUUGCCCACAGAUAAAAGUGUUGGUUGUUCAUGUAGUUUUCUGCUGAAACUGUUGAAAGUUUCCGUUUUGGUUGGUGUGGACAAUUCAGCAAGGGAAGAUCUGGUGAAGAGGAUCAGUUUGAAGUUGCAUGAGGCUUCUGUUAAAGAUUUACUGAUCCCAGCACGUUCUUCUCAGACUGCUUGUUAUGAUGUUGAGUUAGUGCAAUGCAUUGUGAAUGAGUAUUUGAUGCAUGAAAAGCCUAGUCGGGCUUUGGGUGAUGUCGGCUGGAAUGAAAAGGGACCUGAUGAUUUUGUUUUAGGGCAUGGAUCCUUGUUGGCUGUUGGUAAAUUAAUCGAUGGGUAUCUGGCAGAAAUUGCACAUGACCCUAAUCUUACUCUUGCCAGUUUCAUUGAUUUGUCACAGUCAAUUCCAGAGUCAGCAAGACCAAUUCAUGAUGGACUAUACAAAGCCAUAGACAGCUACUUGAAGGUAUGCUUUUAUACCUAAGAAUACCAAUUCUUUUACAGCUAAGUUGUAUAAUUUAAACUGUUUCUGAGAUGUUCCUAGACCAUUAUUAGCAAGUAGGCCCAAAACCACCCCAAUAGACAGAGAGACUUGUAUUUAUCUAUAAUUAACUAAAAGAAAUGUGUGAUGAUCAAGUCACGUAACGUCUUUUUGUAUAAUUUGUUCCUCUCUUGUUAAUGAGACCGGAAUAUAUAGAUGCAACUAUUAGUGAAAACACUAGUUGAAUGACAUAUGGAUGGGCUACUAUGUCUUCAGGAACAUCCAGACUUGACAAAAUCUGAAAGAAAGAAGAUAUGUGGGCUUAUGGAUGUCCGAAAACUGACGAUGGAUGCCUCUGUGCAUGCUGCACAGAAUGAUCGACUUCCUCUCCGGGUUGUGGUGCAAGUCCUCUUUUUUGAGCAAGUUAGAGCAGCUUCUGAGGUUCAUGCUCUUAGAAACAAUCCCCAAAAUGCUUCACAUUCCACGACAAACACAGAUGAAGAAUGGGAAAAGACAGCGGCAAAGGAUGAUCGCAAGUCCCUUAAGAAACAGAUUAGCCAAAUGAAGAUAAAAGAUGAAGAAUUCCCAAAGAACGUGAAAUUAAUUAAGAAGAACAGCAAAAAUAGCAAGAGUGGGCUGCAGUUGUUGCCAUCUCGGUCAAGAAGAAUAUUCGACAAGUUGUGGAUCGUGGGUAAAGGGCAUGGAGAGAACAGAAGCUCUGAGACAUCCGGGAGUUCUCAAAGUCCAACUUCAUUGGCUCCUGGAGAUACCAAGUCAUCAGGCUCAUCUUCACGACACCGGAGGCACUCUAUAUCUUAGAGGGGAAGGAUUUUAAGGUUAAUAUGAAUUGAACAGGUGAAAAAAGGGGUCAUAAAGUAUCGCAAGUGUAAAAAAAAAAAAAAAAAAUGGGGUAGGUUUUUGUUCUAGUUGAUGAUGGGUCAAUCAAGAAGGGGUUGAUUUGCAGAAAUGCCUAGUCAGUUUCUUUUGAGUACCUUUUUUUUUUUUUUUUUUUUUCCCCUCUGUCAUGACAUCUGUUAAUUCCAAUUGUAAGAUCAUCUAUUUUAUUACAUCAGUAGUUUCAUUGAAGAGCUGUUAAUGUUACAUUUCUGCGUUUCAUUCUCUAGACAAGCGCAGGCUGGUAAAACUUUUUCAUGCACCAUUUGCUUAUUACAAUCAGGAGUGCCUGGAUGGGUAAUUGGAUAACUACUACUAAAGUCAUGAAGAGAUGUACUAAACGGGAUUUUUUCUUAUGAUUUUACCGGUAGCCAGGUCCGCAAAGUCAGAGUAAUGAUAGAUUGAUAAGAUCCUAAAUUAAGGGUAUAUCUUAGAAUUUUGUGAGAAUAUUCUUUUAAAAUUUUGCCGCUUGUUCGAAAUGUCAGAGCUUUACCAUAGUGGAGGCAACCGGCAAGUUUCUGACUGACUAGCCAUUAGAUUACCAAAGCGGCAAAGGCCUAAACAAGUUUAAUGAGUUUGCUCAUGUAUGUGUUUGUCCAGUUUCAAGUUCCGUUGACUUUCUGUAUUUGACCCAUUGGUUCUCCCCAUAACACAUACAAAGCAACACAACUCGCUAACAGAUAAAACAAAACAUUCAGAGAUCAUCAUUGAAACACAGACGGAUUAAGAUUUAAAGAUGAAACCCAGAUACAGAAUCAGCCUUUCCCUUGUUAUCUUCAUCUUGUUCACUCUCUAUUUGCCAGAUAUCACCACCUCUUCAUCAUCAUCAAGAACCAAAUGCAAAGCGUGGUUGGUACAAUCAAUACCCACGGACAUGCCCCACCUGCCUCAUGUUCCUGGAAUUGUUUCUUCUGGUAAACGAAACGAAACCCAAAAAUGUCUAUCUCUUCAAUUUUUUUUUUAAAUUUUAAUUUGUUGUUAUUGGAUGUUUGAUUGUGUGUUUAAAAGGGAAUGUGUUGAAGUGGUUGGCUGGUAACUCUACAAAGAGACUUGAUAUAAUAGCUCAGUAUUGGCAACUAAUUGCACGUCCAAAUGAUUCUCGUUCUGGGGAUUAUGGUUACUCUGAAGAUGAUAUGAAGAGAUUUGGUGCACAAGAAGGCUUUGAUGUUUAUAAGUCCAUUGAGAAUGCUGCUGACCGUAAUGUCAGAGUCAGGUAUUUUAUUUGUCAUUUUCGUUUAGUUAGAAUUCGAGUAAGAUUCAACAUUUUUUGAAAAAAUUUGAGUAGGAUUCUAAACAGCCUUCUGUAAUCUCAUAGGUUUACAAAUCUUUCAUAAAUAAGUUUUCAGUUCAUAUCCCUUUGGUAACUAUCUUUGUUCUGAAUUUGAAUCUUUUUUCAGGCUACUACAGCACUUAGGGGUAUAUCCCGACUUCACUACUGAAGCAUCUAAUCUUGCUUCAGGUAGAAAAAAUGUGGAAAAUGUGACUCUAUUACUUGGUGAUUGGUGGGGUUCAGGCAUUGUCCAUGCCAAAGUUUGGAUAUCAGAUUGCCGUGAUGUGUAUAUUGGAUCUGCUAAUAAUGACUGGAAAUCUCUAACUCAGGUACUUAUGUAUGCAAUGCAAUGAGUUAAUAUUUUAUGGGGAAGUAGAAGAGGUUGAAACUUUGUUCUUUUUUGGGGCCUCAACUAAUUGAUUAAGGAAAAACCAGAAUCUCAAUUUGUUUCUAAUGCAUAUAACACAUGCUUUUGAGACUUCAGGAGUCUGCUUCUGUGGGGUUACAGUGUCAUCAGUAGUCCUGAAUCUUGAUCAUCGCAUGGUUGCAGGUGAAGGAAGUUGGAAUUUAUCUUGUUGGUUGUCCAACAAUAGCAAAAAAGGUUGAGGUUUACUUUGAAAAUCUUUGGACACUUUCGUUUCUUAAUUCUUCAACUUACACAAGAACUGUAUCAGACCAACAAUGGCAGGUUAAUAGAACAGUUCCCUGCUGGUCUCAUUUUCUUGAUCCUAAGGGUAGGUGCAGGUACGUCAGAGAGUUCAUUUGAAAACCUUGAUGAUCUUUGAGCUCUUGUCUGGAGGAAAGUUUUGAUAUUUUGAAGAACUCUGCAAUCUGAUUUCGCUUUUCUUAUCUGAUGUUAGUAGAUACUUCAUUUUCUUCCAUUAUUGAGUGUUAUCCCAUAUACUUAGGAAAGUGUUCUCAGGUUUUGAUGCAACUGGCAUAAUUUAAGUGGAUACGUGUUUAGUAGUAUUAACAAAAUCUUUUAAUUUUCUUUGAUUUUCAUUUUGUUGAGAUGUGUGGACUAAUCAUGUUUCGGAACAUGGCUCUAUGAUUCUGUAGUAGUUUAGUAUUCUCUCUGAUGCAUCUCAGCAUGGAUAAAGACAUUGAUGUUGACUCUAAGCCAGUAAUUUUGUACAAUAGCAGUGAAAAUUGAUCUAGUUUCUGUGCAACUUAGUGGUUGUCUUAGACCUUUCCGAGGUUGACCGAUAUGGGUGCACAAUAUCUGGUGCAGUCACAGCUUAUGUACAAUUGAUAUAUAUUGCAAGUAAGAAGCAAUUUAAUUUAACAAAACCCAUUUUUCUAUCUAGAAAAAGGAAACAGUGUCAAUUUCACCCAUUUACUGGGAUGCAUCGGAAUGCAGUAUAAGUGGAAAAAUACUAGCAGUUUGAUAAAACAGUUGAAAGUUGAUGAUUUAUGUACAGGUCACCUCUCCCUCCAGUUCUUGAGGUUCCUCAUGUGGAAGGCUACCCUAUACUGUCAGACCCUUAUAUGUUCCGAGAGACAAUGGAGACUCCUGGAAGCAAUUAUUCUACUUUGCAACCUCAUUACAGCUACCUCUCAUUUGCUCCUCCAGAGGUAAUUGAACAAUUACCUUGUUGGUAUGCUUGCACUCGCACAAACACAUUCAUAUAUAAACAUUUUUCAUAUGCUCACCACACAAUCUAAAGAAUCAUUUAGAAAUUGGUUGUCAUUUUGCUCCUUCAAGCUUAUCAUUUAGAAUGGAAUUAAAUCCACUGAUAUGUAUGCCUAUAAAGAUCAAUUUACAUCCCAAACAAAAGUUAGGGGGGAAAAAAAAAGAGAGAGGGAGAGGGAGAGAGAGAACGCAGACAAAAUGUUCAAAUAUUCAUGUCUACCUUAUUUCUGGCAAGCAGCUAUCAUUUGGCAAGUAUAUGGCUGAUGAACAAGCUUGGGUGGAUACAAUCAAAUCUGUAGGAACCAGAGCUACACUUAGGAUUAGUACAAUGGACUGGCUUGGUCAAUCCCAAUAUUUGAAGCAAACUGUUUAUUGGUCAGCACUUUCCUCUGCAGUUUCAGAGGUAAUUUCUGACAUCAUCAGUUUUAAGUAUCCUUUUACUGUACUGUCAAAUUUAGUUGUUUAAUACUAGUGAUGUUUAUGAACCACUAGGUUGUCUUCUCCAAGCAUGCGAAUGUGAAGAUACUAGUAGCAUAUUGGGCACAUUUUAUCAACAACACAGAUGAGUAUCUCAAGUCUCUUCUAAACUCCAAUGUCCUUUGCAAUUCUUCGAAGUACAACAAAUGUUCUGGCAAAGUUGAGAUCAAAUACUAUAAGGUGCCAGGAUACAACUUGACAGGACCUGCCAUUCAAAAUGGAAGCAAUACUGGAAAUAUUUAUCCAGGCUUUACGAGAGUCAAUCAUGGAAAAUAUGCAGUGAGUGAUUCACGAGCUCAUAUCGGAACAAGCAACCUUGUGUGGGAUUACUUCUAUACAACAGCUGGUGUCAGCUUUGGAACAUACAAUCCUGCGAUUGUUUCACAGCUUCAAGAGAUCUUUGAUGCUGACUGGAACUCACCAUAUGCUUUUCCUGUCGAAGAGUUGGGUGACGGCCAUGCUCAUGCUUCUAGCAUUUAAAUGCUUGCUAUUGUUUCUCAAUUUAAAGUCAGUUCAACCUGUAUCUUGCCCUAGUAACUGUACAUGGAUGAGCUGAUCAUAGUUUCAUUUUCUUCUUGUUAACAGCAUAGUUGUAUUUGCUUUGAAGUAGAUGCUUCCUAGCUUGGUACUAAUUUCAUUUAUUUGAGAAUGACUAUAAUGAACAAAAUAAUGGUUGCAUAAGCCUAAUCUCCAUGCUUCUAGUUCUUUUCUACUCUCUCUAAUUUACACAAACAACGACACUAUAGUCUUCAAAUUGAUUGCAAAAUUUGUAUUUUAACACUUAUCAACAAUCGCGUCACCUAUGAGGCAAAUUGUUGCGUUUAUUAUUAAUUUAUCCAUAUUAUUAAAUAAGUAGCAUGUAUCCAUAUUAAUUUAUCACAUUAACGCAAUUCUAAUUUUUUAUUUUGUACUUUGAAUGUAAAUUGUAAUACAAAAUUGAAAAAAUUACAACUAUAUUUUAUCAUAAAAGAAAUAAUUAAUUUUGACAAAAUUGAUGAUUAUUUUGCAAUAAGUUCUUUCAUUUUUUUUUUGAGCCCAUGUUGGCCCAAAAGGAAAAACCCUAUGAACCAAAAACCUCGAAUCAAAAAUUGACCAAUCAGUCAACAAAUCGGACGGUGGAGAUCGCUUCUUCAGGCUCAAGAGUAGAAGAGUCACUCAAACACAGUAAAAACAGAGACGAGAACAAGGCGUCUUCUUCAGCAAAAUCCGAGCUUUCAAGUGGAAAAAUGCAGAGAAUCAAAUCUUUGUUAAGAAUAAAGCAUUCAUUUAAACAAGUAGCGUUUGUGUCUCAUCAACAGAGAAGCUUUUCUGCUUUACCGGAUUACUCGUCAAAUGAUUAUCUUCAAGACCAGGUCUCUUUACAUUUACCCAAAGGCUCUUCCCCCCCCCCCCCCCCCCCCCCCCCCCCCACCAACAAUAAUCGUGUUAUUUUUGUAUUUAUAUUAUUAUUCAUUACAUAACCAUUUAAGUUUCGGAGCAAACCCUUCAUUUUAUUUGAAAAAGUUUUUUUUUUUUUUUAACUCAAUGUAUGGUUCAGCUUACUGCACUGUUGUGAUUUCUUAAUUCAUCAAAUUAUGUUAUUUUUGCAUUCAUAUUCCUAUUGAUAGUGUACACAAUUAAGUUUUAGAGGCCACUCUUCAUUUUCUCCAUAGAAGGUUAAAUUUUUUUAAAUCAACGUAUUCUUCUAUUUUUGCUGCAAGUUUUCUUUGUUUGUGUGUGACAUCAAUUAAUUAUAUUAGUAUUCAUAAAAUACCCACUUCAGUUUUAGAGGUAACUCUUCAUUUUCUUUGAAAAAGAUUAAAUGUUGGGUUCUAUUUGAUCUUUAAGUUAUAUUAUUCGUCAGUGUCUGUUUUUUAAAUCGAAUUAGUUACAUAAAAAGUUUGUUACUUUACUGUAAAAAGUUUUACUUUGUAAAUUCAGGUCUUAGUUGAAGGAAGAGCUAAGUCAAGAGCAGCUAUUCUCAACAGACCCUCUAAUCUGCAUGCUCUUAAUACUUCUAUGGUUUGUUCUCUUUACUAUUUUGUUUAAUCCAUACAUAUGUAGAGACUAGGAAGCCGUUAAUAUAUUGGGGUUUUAAUGGCUGAUUUUUAUCUUAUUGAUAGGUGGGUAGGCUGAAGCGAUUGUAUGAAUCAUGGGAAGAAAACCCGGACAUUGGGUUCGUCUUGAUGAAGGUAUAUAGUUUCUCUUUGUAUGUUUUGAAGCUAUCUUAGUUUUGUUCUUGAAAUCAUGUAUUUUUCAGCUUCGUGGAGGUGUUAGAUGAGAGCAUAACAAUUUGAGAGUAUUGUGUUUUUUAUUCUAAAGCCUAUUACUUGAUGUUUCAAGGAGAUACUUAUUAUCGUGAUAGACGUAAUGACAUUUGUAGUUGCAAUUUUAUGUAUGUCUCAUUUAAUAUCUACAUGGAAAUGUUCUUAAAAUUGGAUUUCAGCACGCAUCUCAUGCUUCAAUUUUGGCAAUAGUUUUAUUCUAAGCUUUAUCUUGAAUUUUUUGAAGGGCGCUGGCAGGGCUUUCUGCUCUGGUGGGGAUGUCAUCGCUCUUUAUCAGUUACUUAAUGAAGGUGGAUUACAUUUCAAUCUUUUCUGAAUGUAUAUUCAUCAAUAUUGACUCUAUUUACUUACUAGUUUCAUUAUCCGCCUGUAAAUUUAAAUGACUACCGGUCACUUGGGUAGAAAUUAUUUUCCUAUGCAUAACUGAUCAGUUGCUGUUAGUCUUCUGUUUUGGUUUCAAACAUGUCAUAAAAUUUUAUUCAGUUUUUUUUUUUUAAUUAGAAAAAAAUGUUCUUGUAGUUUGCAUAAGAAAGUUACUUGUGUACUUCUCUGACUAUUUUGCUUUAUUGCAGGAAAAUUUGAAGACUUUAAAAAUUUUUUUGAGACGUUAUAUCAGUUUGUAUACCUUCAAGGAACAUAUGUAAAGCCACAUGUGAGAGUUCACCCUUUUCUAGAGUUCAUUGUUGAGAUAUAGUUUAGCGCUUUAGGUAUUUUAUCUAAGAUAUUGAGCCCUGAUCUUUAUAACUUGGGAUAAUGGCAAAUCCUUGGAUGUUCUUUUUCUAGUAACUUUCUUCUUUUCUUGCAUAAUUUAACUUUCUGUAACUGUUUAACUGUACUGCCUGUCUAAUGGAAACUUGUACAGGUGGCUAUAUUGGAUGGUAUCACAAUGGGAUGUGGAGCUGGGAUUUCGCUGCAGGGGAUGUAUCGUGUGGUCACUGAUAAAACUGUAUGUGACUGGCUCUAUAUUUCAGCAAAUGUAGUUAUUACUAUUAGAAAUCACAAUCAGAUACCUUCCUAUUGAUGCUGUGUUCUUUAUCGAAGGACUUUUAGAAAUGGGCCUUCUGGUGUAUGUGAUUCAUAUACACUCACCAUCUUCUUCAAAAUUCUCUCAAGAAAAUGUCUUACUUAUGCCUAAAAUUUACAGGUUUUUUCUAAUCCAGAAACUCAAAUGGGGUUCCAUCCCGAUGCAGGGGCUUCGUUUUAUCUGUCUCACCUGCCUGGUUACUUAGGUGAGGUCCAUCUCUUUCAGCUUUGAGGAUGCAAUUGUUUGCAAAAUUGCUGAAGUACUUUGAUAUAUGUUAGUUUUCAUUUUCUUUUAUGUACAUCUAUAACUGCUGAAGUAGGGAAAUGCUUCCAUUUUGCCUACUCUUCUUUGGGUUUUGUUUCUUUCAGGAGAGUACUUGGCUCUAACUGGAGAAAAGCUCAAUGGUGUAGAAAUGAUUGCUUGUGGUCUUGCCACCCAUUAUACGUUAAAUGCGGUUAGUUAUACUGCACUUUAUUUUACUUCACUCUGUGUUUCUUCUCUUUGUUACUCUUCAUAUGCAGCGUAUAAUUGUUUUCUAAGUCUCCCUGACAGAGACUUCCACUGGUUGAGGAACGAGUCGGAAAAUUAAUCACAGAUGAUCCUUCAAUCAUAGAGACUUCUCUUGCUCAAUAUGGUGACCUUGUCUCUCUAGAUAGGGAGAGUGUUCUUCGCAAGUAAGGUUCCAGGAUAGUUUUCUUACUUCUGCCACCUGCCUCACUUGGCAUCAAUUUAUUAUCUCUUACACAAAAGCUGAUGCUUUGGUGAUGUUCAUGAUUAAAAUUCUGAAUUAUUUAUUUACCCUUUUCUCUUGUUUGGUUUCAGGAUUGAGACAAUUGAUAAAUGUUUCAGUCAUGACACAAUCGAGGAAAUUAUUGAUGCUUUGGUUGGUUUUAUUGGUUAUUAUUAUUAUUAUUAUUUUUCCCUUCAUUGAUUUAGUAAAACUGCAUAAACUGAGAAAAAAAUGAUUAAAGAUAGAAAAAGAAAACUUCCAUUGAAAACUUGUAAUGUCUUCACCAAGUGGAGAGAUUUGCUUUUGCCAGCUAAAUAGUUAGAAACCGGCUCAUAUAUUUUGCAAAUGAGCAUUACAAGUUAAAUCAGAUUAGGUAUUUGGAUUUGAUCUAUGAAAGACUAAUAAAGACUUUCCGUGCUGCCUUUGGAGUCUGGCUUCAAAAAAUUGUCCUCAUGAGUUGUAUCCGGAUGCUUCAAAGUUGAAAACUUGAUUUCCACUAGAGCUUGAAGGUAUCGUUUUCAGGUCUCAAUAGAAGUUAGCAAUUUACACCACUUGUUGCAAUGUGGGAAUCAGUAAUAACCGUGCACUGCACUCCAACAUGUGUUGGGCAAGUUGGUUUUGCCUCGUAACAAAGAUAACAUUGAUAGAGGAAGCAAAUUUAAUUUUCAUCUGGUUGAUUAAGUAUUUAUUUUACUUGUUGUCAUUGUCCAUGGUGCUCAGGAAAAUGAGGCAGCUUCCUCUUAUGAUGUAUGGUGCAGAAAAGCUGUUGAAAAACUGAAAGAGGCAUCUCCAUUGAGCUUGAAAGUUACUUUACAAUCAGUAAGGCUUCUUUCCUUGUAUCUCCAUUCAGUUGCCAUUUGGCUUAUUACCAGCCUGACUUAAGUUUCUCUUGCUGCAUUCAGAUACGAGAAGGUAGAUUCCAAUCUCUUGAUCAGUGUUUGGUACGCGAAUAUCGCAUAACCCUCAAUGGGAUCUCCAAAAAGGUCUCAAAUGACUUCUGUGAGGUAAAUAGACAUUUCAAAAGUUUGACGUAGGAGACACUUUUAAAUCUCUUACUGAUCUUACCACUUGAAUUCACUUGUCUACAGGGCAUUCGGGCUCGGUUAGUGGAUAAAGAUUUUGCACCUAAGGUAAAUUCUUUCACCAUCCCAUUUUAGCUAUAUUUACUUCUUCCGAGCUUGCUUAAAUUGGGUUGUAAUUUCAAAUAUGCAGUGGGAUCCUCCAAGUUUAGCAGAUGUGAGUAAAGAUAUGGUCGACUGCUAUUUCUCCCCAUUUGAUGAGUUGGAGCCUGAACUGCAGCUGCCCACGGCGUUGCGAGAACCUUACAUCUGAGAUAGAUUUAUACAUUUUGAAGCAAGAAUGCUGAAAUUUUGUCGUUGUCAUCUGUUCUAAUCAACCUGUGCCAUUUUUCAUUUUUUGGUUAUACAUAUUGAAAAUUUUGGAAUAUAAUUUGUUGUAAUUGCAUAUUACCUUAGGCCUUGGAUGUUCGAUAAGAUGUUCUCUUGAUUAUUUUAUACAAUAAUUUUAAGCAACCCUUUGAAAUUUAUUUCCUCUGCCUAGAUGUGAGAAUGAGUAUAAAUAAAUAAUAAAUUUAUAGGAGAUUUGUUAAACCAUAAUUGGAUUUUGAACUAUGAUAAGAAUUUCAACAGCUGCAGAUGAAGGCCCCAGGCUUAAGCUUUGACCUUGAUAAAAUGAUGACAAUCAUGUGCACAACGCACCCCCGUGCGUGACAAUACGCUUGUCAAGAUCCAAACAAGGGAGCUGAGUGCGACAGUCAUGCUGAUCACUUCCCACAAGUUAGAUGCCACAAGUCCCCACAAAUUCAAUAGCUAACUUUGUUACAAACUCUUUCAUGGCCAGAUAUUAAUAUCAAUAUGCUGAGACCUAUAUUUUAGCCAGGAAAAUAGAAGAUUCAUUAGGUAAAAGAAGCUAGCUGCUGUUGAACUAGCUAGCUGCUGUUGAACUGACAGCUUUUGUACUUUUAGAUGUCAUGCACUUGGACUCGAUAUAGAUUGUUAAGCUAAACAACUGCUUUCUAUAGAUUCUCAGUUAUCUCAGAACUUUCACAUACACACACCUAAGACUAGGUUAAAAAGAGUUCUAUAAACAUUUUAUACCGCCACCAUGGAAACUCUAGAGAGCUGUGUGUCAAACUUCAAAGUGAUGCCCAUACUGAAAGAAGGUUCUUGACUAAGUAACUUGGCCCCGUAAGGUACAUUAGCCUUAAUGAUGUCAUCAGCAGAAUUACAAAUACGACAAUAGGGGCCUCAAACCUUGCACCCACGACCCAACACUCGUUGGAUCACAUUUACAAUAUUCAUGCAUUUUCCACAAAUGCAACUGAUAGGAGUCACUCAGUGUAAACAGGCGUUCAUGCUGUAAACAGGCAUUCAUGCAAGUUGGUCAAUGCACCACGGGCUAUAAUACGACAAUAGGGGCCUCAAACCUUGCACCCACCACCCACCACUCGUUGGAUCACAUUUGCAACAUUCUUGCAUUUUCCGCAAAUGCAUCUGAUAGGUGUCACUCAGCUUAAACAGGCGUUCAUGCAAGUUGGCCGAUGCACCAUGGGCUAUAAGACAGUCACGCUUCAUCUCACCAAACUCGAUCCCAUCAAAUCACUUUCUGUCUGCCACUGGCCGUCCGGUAAGGGGUUGGAAUGGCCUAGUGUUUCGGAAUUUUACUUUGUCCUCAGACAUGUGAAUAAAUUGCUGGUAAAAUGUUAUCCAUGUAAAUAUGAGUGAACGAACCACUUAACCAGUUCGGCCAUCAUAAAGUCUCUCUGUUCCCCAUUUGGAAAAUCCAGCCCUGUCACGUAUGUACAGAAAAUGAAUGCUAUCCAGUCCAUGGGACACUCAAACAAACAAAACAGAAAGUAAUGCUUGAAUAUGAGAGUAAUUCCGCUGUUUCUGGCCCCAAUGCAAUUUAGCAACUGAGACACAAAACUGAAACAAAAUAGAAUCUAAAAGAUGACGAGCCAAAAGCUAGAUAAACAACGAAGUAGGGAAAAAAAAAAAGAAAAACAAUUUGUUUAGGCACAGAACACUGUUGCAAUUUCAUGAUGCAUACUCAGCCACCAAAAUCCAAAUAAGAAAAUUUCUUAUUUGCUAUGACACACUGCAGUAAUAGCAUAAAAAUCAAUACUUGCAAGUAACCACAGUUACCUCUGAAGUUGCUCAGUGAUGACCCACCAGUGGAAGUGGCAAAAGGAGUGGCAUAUCUCAUCAAGCCAUCACAGGCCCCCUUUCCUAAAGCAGCCUCUAAAAGUUGAGCAGGAGUUUGCCUUGAAGGAAAAGCAUGUGGAUUUUAACAAUGCCUUGUAUCGUAAAAGGGAAAUUUUAUUGACUCUAGAAAACCUAAUACACCCUUCUGCCCAUGCAUGCUUGAGAACUUGUCUCCAAGACAAGGAGAAUGAACCUACAUUAUGAAAUCCAAAAAAUCAUAAAUAUUAAUGAAGGGGGGCACUUUUUAAGGUGGAUUCACCAACCAGAAGGCCGUCUCAAUAAUUCAAAACCAGACCAAGUUUAAGCAAAUUUAAAUGAACAUUUACUACACCUUGAUGAUAUCUUGCAUUUUUGUACAAUUUUUCUUGUUUCCAUUCACACACACUGCCAUCUUCAACAUGCACAUAAUAUAGAAAAUUACAAGUAAACGCGAUCGUGUGAAUGUUUGCAUACAUAUAUGAAAAUGAAAAUAGUGAUUCAGGUGAAAUACCAUAUUGACUGACUGUCUGAUAGAUACCACAGCAAAAUUCUUUCCAUCAUCAUUAGAAGAUAGCAAAAUUCUUUCCAAUCCCUGUUCGGUGUGCUUCAAUUUUAUACUGUGAUCAGCCCCAAUUUCUGCAUAUUUUCCAAUCACAAUGUCACCGCUCUAGAGGUUAACAUCAACACAAGGAAAUCCAUCAUUAUCUAGGCUGUCAGCACGGCCAACUUUACUUUGUAUCUUUCUGAAGUUCAACAUAUCAUCAGAUGGCCGCCUCUUCACCUGUAUAUCUUUGUUAUCGACCUCAGCCUUGUAACUUUCAGAUCAAAACACGCCGCACUCCAGAGAGGCCUGGUUCAUAACCAGGGAGUCCUCUUGGUUGUAUCCCAAGUGGACGUUCACAGCCACAUUGGCAUUCUACCCAUUAUCGAGCUCUGGCCUUGACAGAUUAUGGCCAUAACCUGGUCUUCCGAGACAAUCGGAAAUCAAUGUCCAAAAAAGAGGCCUCUGAGGAUAAAACAGCUGCUGCAAUAGAGUAUCCACUCUGAUGUUUGGAUUGGUUGUUGGAAAACCAAUGGCCUGAGGAGAAUGCUUCUGGGACUGAUAAAGGACCCAACCUUGCAUGGUCAUGGUUUGCAAAUGGGAUGGGAUAAUCCCACAGCUCAAUCCUAGCAAGAACGACAUGUCAAGUUCACAGUGAAUGAACUUAAUGGGUUUCUCUAUUCAAUCUCCUUUAAAAGUUAUUUAAUGCCCCAUGCAGUACAACAAUCUUCCUCUUCUUCAGUUCCAACAAGCUCUACUAUUCCGUGGACAAGGAUUGGAAGGAUUCAUUUUUCCCUUCCAAAGAUUUAACAGCUAAAUUGGUACUAAGGUUCUAAACACAUAAAUUUCAAAGUUAUCAUCAUCUGAGAGGUGUACAGAAAAUUCGUCAAGCCACAUGGAAUGAUGUGUAAUCUUGGGAUUAAUUAAAUAUUCCCAUAAAUUAAUUCACUACAGAUAUAGCAUUAAUGAAAUUAACCAUACAUGAAAACAAAUAGAGAAGGGAGUUGUAACAAAAAUACACAGCAAUGUUAAAGAAAAAUAAGAAAGCUUCAAACUCACCUUCUCUGCACCUUUGAUACAAAAGUAACCCCCAUGAUCAAAAUCACAAUCACCUUUCUCUGCUCCCUUCAUCCAGCAGAGGUCAGACUUCACCAUCAGAGGAAUCCUCCCAAUUAUGAUGUCCUUAGUUUCCUCAAUUAGAACCUCCUUCUGAAUAAAUUGUUCUCUUCUAGUUUUGAAAUUGCCACUUAUGACACGUUUUUAAGUGUGUACCUGACAAAGUACAAUGAUGCAACAAGAUGUAAGUAAUUAAAAGGCAGAAAGACAAGAAUAAAAAUAUCACACCCAAAGAAAUGCCAUUUUAUCAAUAGAAAAACUAACAGCACUUUUUAUUCACCUGAAGUUAACGUUAACUUUCAUCCAGGAUGAAUAUGUCAUAUUCUGCAACUUUGCAUGCCUAGGAAGCAUGUCCUGCACGUCACCUCCUUCACCAGCAAAAAUCUAGGCUUAUCAAGAGUGACCUGCCCAAAUCUCAUCGAAGCAUAUCGCCACUGACCCUCUCCUUUCUUUGAUGGAUCCUAACCAGGCUCAACUACAGUCACACCAAAAGAAUCAAAGGCUGUCUGGAGACCAUUUUUUAAUAAACUCAUUGUAUGAGUUGAUCUGGUGCCUAACCAGACCAUAUUCCUUAAAGAAAGACAUUACUGCCUUCCUACAGAAUGUUUUCAAAAACUCCUCCCCAAGAUCAUGUAUGCUGCUUGGAUCUGUAAAUUCAUUAUCAUCUUGAACUGAAAACUUUUCAUCCUUACUACUCAUGGCUAUACCUUCCUUGGCAUUUGACGAUGCCGGAUGCCCCCAUUUGUCUCAAAAUCUGCAAAUAUAGCAAAAGUAUAAAAGAUUUAAAAAAACUAAAAAAUGAAUAAAUACAGAAGAGAUUGUCUCAAAAUCUGCAUGCUGCAUGCAAAGCAAAGUUCAAGUUUCUACGUCUCUUAAUCCAUCUCAUUUUCAUUUCCAAAACACAAAAAGCACAACCGAACUCCCAAAGAAAUGGAGACAGAAACUUACGUCGAGCUUUCAAAUUCAAUUCGGCGUGUUGCGUCAAUUGUCAAAUAGACGUUAAAAAAACUGAAUCUUUAUUCACCAACACUCUCAAAAUCAUAACUUUCUCGGGUUCAUCAACGGUCAUUCAGACAAUGUGUAUGACGAAAGAGAAGUAGAGAACAGAGCCAGAGAGAGACGAUGAAGCCGAAGAGACGCUCUUCAAAUUUUGUUUCUGUUUUGUCAGUGUCUCUGCUGGUUGUGUUGCUUUUUGAGGAGUGGUUUCACUGGUAAUAAGUUGUACUUUCAAGAGGUGAUCUUGUAAAUUCAUUAUUAAGGAUUUGGUACGGAAAGGUGUAUGGUUAGAGCCUAGAGGACGAUUUUUUGCCUUUGAAAUGCUUGGGAGAGGACUGAUGAAAAAGCAACUGAGUUAUAGGGUUAAAUUUGAGAAAACAAAUAUUCGGUGAAUUUAACUUGCAAAAUUAUUUAUUAAUUAAUCACAUUGGAAUAUAGUCAUCUCACAUUGGUAUUUUACAUUUCAUUCGAAAUGUGUGACAUUUUUUUAUUGAUGAGAUUUUUAGAUUAAUAACUUUUUUUUUAAAAAAAAAAACUAAUUAUAAUUAGAUGAUUACUGCAAAUAUUCUAAAUUAUGAAGCACGAUUUAAGAGAGAAUUAUAUUGAGAGAGGGUAUUAUAUCUUGUUAAAAGAACCUAAAUUUGUGAGAGUAGCAGACUACUAGCAGCCCAUCAUUCUUCAGUAUUAUCAAAUCUUGAAAAAUGUUUUCGUUUGCCUUAAAUUGCUGUAGUGUAUGUAUGAGAUCAAAGUAUUGUAACUGUGUGCUUUUAAAAUUAAUCAAAAGAACAACAAUUACAAACGUGCGCGUAAUAUACAGUCUAUGAUGAAUCUCAUCAAAUAUUAAAAAUAAAACCAUAGUACCUGGAACUAUUUGGGUGGAGGAUAGUAGAAUAAUUUAGAAGACAAUAAAUUGAUGUUCUAUCUAUGUAUUGGCCUGCAUUGCUAAGUAUAUGAUCUUCUAAAUACAGAGCUUUGAGUAUAAAUUAGAUUUAAAAUGAAAUAUUGUUUAUUACUAGAUCAUGGAGAAAAUGUGACGGGUCUAAGACAAUAGCUAGCACAGGUUUCAACUUCAAUCCAAGCGGCGAAGGAGGUACUCAACUUGAACGAGCUUGGUAAAGGGCAUGAUCCAAUCUCCAUAGAGUCUUGAAACUACAGAUGGAUCCACUUUGAACCUCGCUUGCUUGUCGCCGUCAUUGCCGAGGCUCACUUCUUGCCCGAGUACCAUCGCCUUCUUCUCAACUCUCUUCUUCACCAUCUGUUCUACAUUCUCAUAUGUUAAUAGAUUCAUCAGAGCAUCUCUGUCCUGAAAAAAACCAAAACAAUAACUUAGUUAGUUAGUGCCAAAUUAUCGUUUUUGUCUUACUUGAAUUGCUGCUGGAGAAAACUAAGACAUUAGAGAUGACGGGUAAGUUGUAUGAAGUUCUAGAAAUGAUGUUAAGAAAGUUGAAGUUGGAAACUUAAGCAGAGUUCCACCACAUGACAAUGUUCUAAGAUUUUGUUGAAUAUUGCUUUACAAUGUGGGUUCUGUAUGUCUAGUGAAAAAGAUUCACCUAUAAGAUAGUAUUCGAGGUAGAAAACAUAAUGUUUCAACGAUUGAACAUUUAAAACUUUGAAAUCUGUGCUCUACGUAGAAAAUUCACAGUUUAAGAAACGCUGCUAGAGGAAAUUAACUAGUCCGAGAUGACAGGUAAAUUGUAUGAAGUUCAAGAGAUGACAGUUGAGAAAGAUAAGCAGAGUUUCAUCAAACAAAUAAUUGAUCGCAUGGGAAUUACAAGUGAACUAUACAAAAGAAUGAAGUUCAAGAAACGUUAACUAUAAGAUAGUAAUUAAGGCAAGAAACAUUAUUGUUUUGACAGUUGAUCAUUAUGAAAUUUAAAACUGGUCUCUACAUGUCCAGAAACUUCCACAGCAUAUCAAUAAAUUCGGUCCUGAGUGCUUAGGAAAGUCUCUAGUUCUUCACAUUGGUAAGUUGGUAAAACUAAUGAAGAAACUUGCUGAAAUUACUUCAGUGUUUAACGAUAAAGAUUUAAUACCUUAGCACGAAUUGCAAGUUCAUAUUCAUGCGGGGCAUCCCUGAAUUUAACCUCGGCUACGAAUUUCCCAUAAUGUAUCCUUCUAGAGAGAGCCUGGAAGGGAAUAGGUAUCAAGUUGAGCCAAUAUUAAUUGAAACAAUCGUAAGAUCCCUUAGUUUUAAUCUUGAAGAGAACUAUUGCAAGUGCGACACAAAUAAAAAGGAAUAUGCCCCGAUUACCUGUAGACAGGCAAGAUCGCUAGUGGCAGUUGAUGCAUAGUUGCCAUCAUCACCCUCAGCAACAAAAAGCGGAAGCAAUUGGUUGAAGUACAUAUCCCAUAUGAUCUUAUUUAUGUUGAUUGAAGUGCCUGCAGGAUGCAAAACCUAUGCUCGGGAUUAGUCAAAAAGAUAAAUGAACUUGCUUUCAAGUAUAGAAUUAUGGAAAAGAAAACCAGAGUUCUGGUAAACUAAUUUACCUGCGGAUAUUUGAAAGGCGGUACAAAUGAAUGUGGCAGAUUAUCAGGGAAGAAGGGAAUUUCUUCUGGGUUCUCAUAUCUCCCAGCCUUUUGCAUGCCAUAUCAAAUACCAUUUUUAGAGUUAGAUUAACCAAUUCAAAACAUAACCAAAACAAAACUAAUCAUUAACUCAAUGUUCACCGGCAAUAUUACUGAUUUAACAAAUGGCAUUCUAUUCAUAUGUCAACACAGCCUCACAUGAGUAGCUACUGAAAAAAAAAAAAAAAGAGAGAGAACAGCAGAACCAGAAAAACAAACCAUCAACAGUUACAGAACAUUAGAUAAGCUACAAGGAGACAUCACUAUAAAUGUAUAUAAGAAUUAGCAGAGCUCAUUAAAAUGUCUGAGCUAUUCAGAAACCCGACUCUACCAUCUCAAUAUAUUGACAAACACUAUAUCCCCAAUAAGCCUAUAACCUGCUCUGAAUUAAUAAGUUGCAUUAAUAGUUAAGUUGUAAAUUCGUGGGCAAGUCCUCCUUCCUAUUCAAAAAUCAAUAAAAUAUGCAUAUUUUAAAACUUAUGUACCACAUUCUGUAGCAAACAUUGUAAAAUACAAGCCUUUUAUUUUAUUCUCUCAAUCAUGUGCUACGGUUAUGAAAGACGAGUAUAAUAAUAUUAAUAUAGACAGAAUCAUUACAUGUCAUGGACCUGGUGAUGAAACAAAAUCCAGCAGAUAAAGAGAAAGACAUAUGAAUCAAACAUAACCAACAAACAAUUUUAAAAAAGGAAAAAGGACAGAAACUUACUGUGGCUUGCAUGGCCUCCGAUUGUUGAACAAUGUAUUGAAGCAAAGAACCAGAGAAGCCAGGAAAUGAAGCAUAAGAUUGAUCAUAAGCUGGAGCAUUAAGAGGGUGCUUAGCUCUCUCAAUGAGACAGAAUAUAAUGGUAUCUUCUUGCCUAAUCAAUGAGUCCCUCACCAAGUCAAGCGUUAAAUCCCCUGCCAAUGCCAUCUUGUUCUCUACUACAAGGACUACAACUAUCAACACAACCAAAAACAUUCUCAAUGCAAAAUAGAGAAUCCUCAAUAAACAAAAUGAGAAAAUAAACACAAAUGAAAAAAUAGAUUCUUAGUAAUCGUUACCAAAUCUUUUCUUAAUUAAGAAGAGAUAUUUCUUCCUCUGGGCUGAAUGUCUAAUUGUGAACUAGAAAAUAUAGAAAUGGCUGGCGCAGAAGGAAAGCGAUGAGCGUGGCCGCGUGGGGUUAGUGGGGGCCAUUUUUUUAAAGGCAAGAGAUUGAGUAACGUCCAAAUUUUGCGUGGAUUCCAUGGUUGCGUUUCCUUUUUCAAGUGAUUUAUUGUUAGUGGGGACUUUUCGCAAACACGUUUUCUACAUAGUUUUAUGUCUUAGUCAUAGACCCGAUCAUUCUGUUCUGCCAAUAAUAUUAUAAUUGGGUUCUCGGCUGAUUUUGAUAUUUCAGUCGGCAUUGACUUGGAUCUGAAAAUUACGUCACAUUCAUAUAACUGUUUCAUACUGGGUUGGAUUUAAAGGGUUUUUUUUUUAAUUUAUAUUAUUUAAUGAUGGUUAACAGGUUUAAUCGAACAGUGAUCCAUUGAUAUAAAACAAAAAAUAUGCGUGGGCUACUUUAUACUUUCAGGGAUUUGUCCGUGGUAUACCCUAAAAAAAGGGUAUUUAUCUAAAAAUACCUCCAUACUCAAAAAUUUCUCGUAUAUGCCUUUUCUAAUAUGCAGUUACGAAAUUACCCUAAUGAAAAACCUAAAUCAACUAAACUACCACAAUCAAUCGUGUAACAAAAUCCCUAAUUUUUUCUCAUGAGCAGCUUCUUCUUCAGCCCGUUCUUCUGGGUUUCUCCUCCUCCAUUUUACAAAUCCCUAUUAUUUUACAACAAUUCUUCUACACACUCUCGCCUCUCUGCAAAUCAGUAGCUGCAAUUCCCCCACUCUGCUUCAGCAUCUCCUCUUCCAGGUACUUUUAGAAAGUCAAAUUUUUUGUUUUAAUGUAAAAUAAAAUUUGAAAGUUUCAAAGCUCAAGUUAUUGAUUUUUCUGAAAAAAAUCAUUUGCAGCUGGUAUUGAAAUGUGUGCAAAGUCUUGUGCCAAAAGCUUAAUUUUCAUUUCUCGCAAAAGUCAGAUGACAAGACUUCACUUGAUUAGGCUUAUGCUUGUCUUUUACCUUGCAUUAAUUUUCAUCUCUUGCAAAAGUCAGAUAAUAAGGUUUCACUCGAUUAGACUAGUAAUUGAUUUAACAUAUUCAUUUUCUGAUUAAUUGUCAUCCAAUUUGCACGCACAUCGGAUAGAAUUCAUUCAAAAAAAUGGCUCGUAAGGUACGGGAGUCCAAAUACUUAUAAACCUACACACCAAGCCUUAGCUUAGCAAUAUGACACUCAAUUAUAGUUCAUAACCGAUAUGCAUGGUGGCCAUAUAUGGGGCUGAGUGACUUCACAGAUUUCAUACAAGGUGAAUAGCAGGUCUUCUUCUCAACUUACUUCGUCUGUGAAGAGAGAUUUCAUCAAAAAAUUGGUAAAACUCAUUCAAAAGACCGACUUAUGAUGUUAGAAAGACCAAAUACCCUAUAAAAUGCUUAAUAAAGUGGUCGCACAAUUAUUCUUGUGUACACAGUACCAAUGCAAUAGAAAAUAGGAUAAACAUUAAUGUCUCUAGCUACUCAGUCCAAUAGACAGUAUAAUCUAAAGAUGUCGUGUUGUUGUAUUGUUACACUGGUGAGACAAUUGCUGCAUGUUGCAGAAAUGAUACCUCUAGUACUUCAAAAGAUAGCAUAUCACGAAACACAUCCAGACUGUAGUGAGGUUAUUUCGAAAAUUCCUUGGCCCAUUGUGUGAGUGCGUGACAUCCCGCAACAAAAAUCAGGGUAUGUACUAUAUAUAUAAUGUGUUUUGAACAUAAUAAUAAAAAUGAUGAUUUUUAACAAUUGAUUUAUAUGAAUUUUUUUAGUGGUGACUGUGGAGCAUUUUUGUUGCGGUACUUGGAGGUCCUAGCCCAUGGACUUGAUGUCAAUUCAUACUGCCAACAAGAUCAUGUUACACAAUUUCGACAAGCCUUGGCUGUAAAAUUAUUUGGGCAUAGGUCAUGGAAAAAAAACUCCGUAGUGUCAUUUUUUGGAUUAUGAGAUGUAAUAGUUGUAAUGAGGAUGUUGUUGAUAUUUGAUGUCAUUAAAGACAAUUGACAGCAUUAAUAUAUUUUAUUUCUUUGUUAUUUAUAUUAAUGAUAGAUAAGAUAGUUUGCACAAUAUAUGCACAGGGAAUACACUGUAAGAGAAUACCCGACUGCAGUCGGGUAUUUGCACAGAUACACGACUGCGGUCGGGUAUUUGGAAAUAAACAUAAUACGCUCUGUGUAAAAUACUCUACUGCAGUCGGGUAUUUGCACAGAUACACGACUGCGGUCGGGUACACGACUGCGGUCGGGUAUUUGGAAAUAAACAUAAUAAGCUGUAACAAAAUACUCGACUGCGGUCGGGUAUUUGCAAAUAAACAUAAUAAGCUCUGUGACAAAAUACUCGACUGCAGUUGUGUAUUUGCACAAAUAUACGACUGUAGUCGGGUAUUUACAAAUAAAAAUGACAAGCUCUCUAUGAAAAAAUACUCGACUGCAGUCGAGUAUUUGCACAGAUACGCGACUAUGGUUGAGUAUUUAGAAAUAAAUAUAACAAGCUCUCUGUGACAGUCGGGUAUUUGCACAGAUACACGACUGUAGUCGAGUAUUUAGAAAUAAACAUGACCAGUUUUGUAACAGUCAAAAUACACUAUUGUACUCGGGUAUGUGCACAGAAUAAAAA